CCUUUGGAACAUAUUAUAUAGUGUCCAAGGAAAAUCUAUUUAAAUCAAGCAACUUGCUUCAUAGACCAGGCAUUUUAUUUUCAGAAUGUAUAAUAGGAAAACCCUUUAAAAUCCUCAUAAGAGAGUCUCCUUCAUCCUUAUAAUUGGAGUGUUACUCAUAUAUAUAGGCAUGUUACAAAGUCAAUUGAGGACACAUUUUCUUAGUAAACUUCUGCCAAAAUAUAUGAAACAAGAAAAUCUACUGUUGCACAAACAAUACUCCAGAGAACAGACAACAUAAGGCCGGGUAACAUUAUUUCUGCAAAUGGAUAUUAUUAGGGAUUUCAGAAGUGAAAGAAAUUUUACAUUCCAGGGAAUCAGUGAAACCCUUAAGGGCCUUUUCAAAGAGAAAAGUAUAGAAGAUACCUGGACCAGUGCAAGAUAAACAGCCCAUAGUGUAUUCUGCCAGGGAAUAUUUCAUUGUAUUCUUCA
This 471-nucleotide long non-coding RNA is filed under the name Bos taurus (domestic cattle). RNAcentral's name for it is "long non-coding RNA NONBTAT011199". The record is from RNAcentral. Lineage: Eukaryota; Metazoa; Chordata; Mammalia; Artiodactyla; Bovidae.